CCUACGGGUGGCAGCAGUGGGGAAUAUUGGGCAAUGGGCGCAAGCCUGACCCAGCAACGCCGCGUGAAGGAAGAAGGCUUUCGGGUUGUAAACUUCUUUUGUCAGGGACGAAGCAAGUGACGGUACUUGACGCAUAAGCCACGGCUAACUACGUGCCAGCAGCCGCGGUAAUACGUAGGCGGCAAGCGUUAUCCGGAUUGACUGGGUGUAAAGGGCGUGUAGGCGGGACUGCAAGUCAGAUGUGAAAACCACGGGCUCAACCUGUGGCCUGCAUUUGAAACUGUAGUUCUUGAGUACUGGAGAGGCAGGCGGAAUUCCUGGUGUAGCGGUGAAAUGCGUAGAUAUUAGGAGGAACACCAGUGGCGAAGGCGGUCUGCUGGACAGCAACUGACGCUGAGGCGCGAAAGCGUGGGGAGCAAACAGGAUUAGAUACCCCAGUAGUC
RNAcentral lists this ribosomal RNA (443 nucleotides) under uncultured bacterium. RNAcentral describes it as "partial 16S ribosomal RNA". It matches the Rfam family "Bacterial small subunit ribosomal RNA", at positions 338 to 795 of the family's 1533-position model. The record is from RNAcentral.